Molecule: ribosomal RNA, 440 nt
Filed under: uncultured Hyphomicrobiales bacterium
Lineage: Bacteria; Pseudomonadati; Pseudomonadota; Alphaproteobacteria; Hyphomicrobiales
Description: bacterial SSU rRNA
Rfam family: Bacterial small subunit ribosomal RNA
Source: RNAcentral
CCUACGGGUGGCUGCAGUGGGGAAUCUUGGACAAUGGGCGCAAGCCUGAUCCAGCCAUGCCGCGUGAGUGAAGAAGGCCUUCGGGUUGUAAAGCUCUUUUGUCAGGGACGAUAAUGACGGUACCUGAAGAAUAAGCCCCGGCAAACUUCGUGCCAGCAGCCGCGGUAAUACGAAGGGGGCUAGCGUUGUUCGGAAUUACUGGGCGUAAAGCGCACGUAGGCUGACAUUUAAGUCAGGGGUGAAAUCCCGAGGCUCAACCUCGGAACUGCCCUUGAUACUGGGUGUCUCGAGUCCGGAAGAGGUUAGUGGAAUUCCCAGUGUAGAGGUGAAAUUCGUAGAUAUUGGGAAGAACACCAGUGGCGAAGGCGGCUAACUGGUCCGAUACUGACGCUGAGGUGCGAAAGCGUGGGGAGCAAACAGGAUUAGAUACCCCAGUAGUC